CCUACGGGAGGCAGCAGUGAGGAAUAUUGGUCAAUGGACGAGAGUCUGAACCAGCCAAGUAGCGUGAAGGAUGACUGCCCUAUGGGUUGUAAACUUCUUUUAUAUGGGAAUAAAAUGUUCCACGUGUGGGAUUUUGUCUGUACCAUAUGAAUAAGGAUCGGCUAACUCCGUGCCAGCAGCCGCGGUAAUACGGAGGAUCCGAUCGUUAUCCGGAUUGAUUGGGUUUAAAGGGAGCGUAGGUGGAUUGUUAAGUCAGUUGUGAAAGUUUGCGGCUCAACCGUAAAAUUGCAGUUGAAACUGGCAGUCUUGAGUACAGUAGAGGUGGGCGGAAUUCGUGGUGUAGCGGUGAAAUGCUUAGAUAUCACGAAGAACUCCGAUUGCGAAGGCAGCUCACUGGACUGCAACUGACACUGAGGCUCGAAAGUGUGGGUAUCAAACAGGAUUAGAUACCCGGGUAGUC
RNAcentral lists this ribosomal RNA (460 nucleotides) under uncultured bacterium. Its description in RNAcentral is "partial 16S ribosomal RNA". It matches the Rfam family "Bacterial small subunit ribosomal RNA", at positions 338 to 795 of the family's 1533-position model. The record is from RNAcentral.